UAUGCUUGUGUUUCUCCAUGUUAGAAGAAUAGAGAAGAACAUGUUCUAUAAGGAAGGGCCAAGUGAAAAUGUUCGCACGGCUUUGAAACUGAUAAAGUGUAAUUAAAAGGUAGUAAAAUUUAUAUUGCUUUCUGAGUUUCAUCAGACCUUUUAUAUUACAUCAUGGUUGAUGGUUUUACUUAUACAAAUCUUUUCCGCUGAGCAAAUAAUGUUAAGAGUGAGUAUAUAUAAUAUAUGGCUACAUGUUAUGUUUACAGGCAUGCUCAAAAUGAUAACUAGCUUCUCUGUAGUAUUUCACCUUACAUUAGACACUCUAAUCUAUUGGAGACUUUAUCAUUAGGUUGAUCAAUAGUAUUUGUUUUUAGCUUGAAAGUAAUUACUGUCAAUGAGUGAAAAGUAAUUGUAGUUUUAUGAUUUAAAGUACUACGGCCGGAAAUAAUAAUUAGUAUUUCUGUACGUGUGCAUUACGUUAGGUAUUCUAGACUUCUAGUCCGUUAGAGACUUUUCUCUGUGAGUGAUCAAUAGUAUAGCAAGCUGAAUGGUCAUUGUUGAAGUUUAGUGAUGGUGUGAACUGGGAACAACGAUAAAACUAACUAAGGUUUUUACUUGUGCGCCAUUAGCUAAAUUCAUUUCCCUGCAAGGUUGGUCACCAAGCGGUCAUUGAACUGAAGGGAUUAGAGAAUAAUAUCCAUAUUAACCUGCUCUUUUUCUCUCUUCUCAAAAACAAAAAUCCCUUCUCUCAUCUCUCUCUUAGCUUCAUUGCCUUACUUCAGACAUUGGAGUGGUCUCCUUAUAGACAGAGCCUGAGGUAAGUGUUACUACUUUUCUUUUUAGCCUCUAUGAUCAUGAAUUGUUUUUUUCUUUUGGAAUAAUUUGAUCCAAAAGAAGUAUUUGUUGAUGCUUGACAGGGGUAGCUUUACUUGUAGUAUGUUGUGUUGUAAUUUAUCUUUUUAUUACUUAGACCAGGGAUACCUCAUCCCUUCACUGUUUUGUACUUCGGAUAUUGAACUUUUUUCUACGAAUAUGUUGGUCGUUUACCUCUCAAACCAAUAAAAAUAACACCGGAAGAUAUACACUGCGACUUUUUUCUAUUUCUAGUUCAAUGGAUUUUAAAACACGGGAUCAACACUAAAGAAAUGCCUG
RNAcentral lists this long non-coding RNA (1143 nucleotides) under Aquilegia coerulea. RNAcentral describes it as "long non-coding RNA (ACOE_LNC000135)". Lineage: Eukaryota; Viridiplantae; Streptophyta; Magnoliopsida; Ranunculales; Ranunculaceae. The record is from RNAcentral.